UUAUAAAUUAGGCUGCUAUGCC
This 22-nucleotide unclassified non-coding RNA is filed under the name Mus musculus (house mouse). Its description in RNAcentral is "oocyte_clustered_small_RNA7312". The record is from RNAcentral. Lineage: Eukaryota; Metazoa; Chordata; Mammalia; Rodentia; Muridae.